AGAGUUUGAUCAUGGCUCAGAUUGAACGCUGGCGGCAGGCCUAACACAUGCAAGUCGAGCGGUANCAGNUCCAGCUUGCNGGAUGCUGACGAGCGGCGGACGGGUGAGUAAUGCAUAGGAAUCUGCCCGNUAGUGGGGGAUAACCUGGGGAAACCCAGGCUAAUACCGCAUACGUCCUACGGGAGAAAGGGGGCUCCGGCUCCCGCUAUNGGAUGAGCCUAUGUCGGAUUAGCUAGUUGGUNAGGUAANGGCUNACCAAGGCNACGAUCCGUAGCUGGUCUGAGAGGAUGAUCAGCCACAUCGGGACUGAGACACGGCCCGAACUCCUACGGGAGGCAGCAGUGGGGAAUAUUGGACAAUGGGGGNAACCCUGAUCCAGCCAUGCCGCGUGUGUGAAGAAGGCCCUCGGGUUGUAAAGCACUUUCAGCGAGGAAGAACGCCUAGCGGUUAAUACCCGCUAGGAAAGACAUCACUCGCAGAAGAAGCACCGGCUAACUCCGUGCCAGCAGCCGCGGUAAUACGGAGGGUGCAAGCGUUAAUCGGAAUUACUGGGCGUAAAGCGCGCGUAGGUGGCUUGAUAAGCCGGUUGUGAAAGCCCCGGGCUCAACCUGGGAACGGCAUCCGGAACUGUCAAGCUAGAGUGCAGGAGAGGAAGGUAGAAUUCCCGGUGUAGCGGUGAAAUGCGUAGAGAUCGGGAGGAAUACCAGUGGCGAAGGCGGCCUUCUGGACUGACACUGACACUGAGGUGCGAAAGCGUGGGUAGCAAACAGGAUUAGAUCCCCUGGUAGUCCACGCCGUAAACGAUGUCGACCAGCCGUUGGGUGCCUAGCGCACUUUGUGGCGAAGUUAACGCGAUAAGUCGACCGCCUGGGGAGUACGGCCGCAAGGUUAAAACUCAAAUGAAUUGACGGGGGCCCGCACAAGCGGUGGAGCAUGU
This 937-nucleotide ribosomal RNA is filed under the name metagenome. RNAcentral describes it as "bacterial SSU rRNA". It matches the Rfam family "Bacterial small subunit ribosomal RNA", at positions 8 to 942 of the family's 1533-position model. The record is from RNAcentral.